AGUUUUCGAGCUCCGGCUCGACUCUCCCACCCUUUGUGAACGUACCUCUGUUGCUUUGGCGGCUCCGGCCGCCAAAGGACCUUCAAACUCCAGUCAGUAAACGCAGACGUCUGAUAAACAAGUUAAUAAACUAAAACUUUCAACAACGGAUCUCUUGGUUCUGGCAUCGAUGAAGAACGCAGCGAAAUGCGAUAAGUAAUGUGAAUUGCAGAAUUCAGUGAAUCAUCGAAUCUUUGAACGCACAUUGCGCCCCUUGGUAUUCCGGGGGGCAUGCCUGUUCGAGCGUCAUUACAACCCUCAAGCUCUGCUUGGAAUUGGGCACCGUCCUCACUGCGGACGCGCCUCAAAGACCUCGGCGGUGGCUGUUCAGCCCUCAAGCGUAGUAGAAUACACCUCGCUUUGGAGCGGUUGGCGUCGCCCGCCGGACGAACCUUCUGAACUUUUCUCAAGGUUGACCUCGGAUCAGGUAGGGAUACCCGCUGAACUUAAGCAU
RNAcentral lists this ribosomal RNA (493 nucleotides) under Lasiodiplodia theobromae. RNAcentral's name for it is "eukaryotic LSU rRNA". The stretch from base 135 to 288 matches the Rfam family "5.8S ribosomal RNA". The record is from RNAcentral. Lineage: Eukaryota; Fungi; Ascomycota; Dothideomycetes; Botryosphaeriales; Botryosphaeriaceae.